UACAGAGGGUGCGAGCGUUAAUCGGAAUUACUGGGCGUAAAGCGUGCGUAGACGGUUAUUUAAGUCGGGUGUGAAAGCCCCGGGCUCAACCUGGGGAUUGCAUUCGAGACUGAAUAGCUAGGGUACGGUAGAGGGAAGUGGAAUUUCCGGUGUAGCGGUGAAAUGCGUAGAUAUCGGAAGGAACAUCAGUGGCGAAAGCGACUUCCUGGACCAGUACCGACGUUCAGGCACGAAAGCGUGGGGAGCAAACAGG
Molecule: ribosomal RNA, 253 nt
Filed under: uncultured bacterium
Lineage: Bacteria
Description: partial 16S ribosomal RNA
Rfam family: Bacterial small subunit ribosomal RNA
Source: RNAcentral